Molecule: ribosomal RNA, 496 nt
Filed under: uncultured bacterium
Lineage: Bacteria
Description: bacterial SSU rRNA
Rfam family: Bacterial small subunit ribosomal RNA
Source: RNAcentral
ACUCAAAGGAAUAGACGGGGACCCGCACAAGCAGCGGAGCAUGUGGUUUAAUUCGAAGCAACGCGAAGAACCUUACCAGGGCUUGACAUCCUCUUGACAGAUGGGUAACGCCAUCCUUCUUCGGACAAGAGAGACAGGUGGUGCAUGGUUGUCGUCAGCUCGUGUCGUGAGAUGUUGGGUUAAGUCCCGCAACGAGCGCAACCCUUGUCUUUAGUUGCCAUCAGGUUAUGCUGGGCACUCUAAAGAGACUGCCGGGGACAACUCGGAGGAAGGUGGGGAUGACGUCAAAUCAUCAUGCCCCUUAUGUUCUGGGCUACACACGUGCUACAAUGGCCGGUACAAUGGGAUGCAAUACGGCGACGUGGAGCAAAUCACCAAAACCGGUCCCAGUUCGGAUCGCAGGCUGAAACCCGCCUGCGUGAAGUCGGAGUUGCUAGUAAUCGCAGAUCAGAAUGCUGCGGUGAAUACGUUCCCGGGUCUUGUACACACCGCCCGU